GUGGCCCCGCAGGCUCCGGGAAGGCAGCGGGCAGCUCCGGACCUCCCCGGGACCCGCAGGGAUGCGGGCCGGUGAGCCAAGGCGCUCCUCGGUGGAGUUGGGUCUUGGCGCGCUGUGCGGCUCAGGACCUGUCUGACGUAAGUGGGACAUGCAGUAAAUACCGAGAGCAUCAUUAAGCCCUGGGGCAGCAUCUUUCAAGAUAGCAGAGAGUUUUCUGGUGCCAUCUUCAGGGAGAACGCUCUUCUAGGGCACCUGGAAGGCCCUGGCACCCACCAUGAUUGCUUCAUGAAGCACAGCAGCAAGUCCAAGGACUGACCUUGUUCGUGCUGGCCAAGCGUCCUAUGGAGGGUCCUGGGGAAGCUGGUACGCUCUUGGGAGUCACUGCAGAGCAGAACUGAUAGGAGUUUGCAAAGGAGAUCAAGGCAAUCACCUCCUUUUUGCAAAUGGGCACAGCACAGAGGAAUGAUUUGUCCAGAGGCAGCAAGCCACCUGAUAGCAGCGUGAUGUGGUGCUGAAAGGAUAUAUGGGUUUAUAUGCAACAGAUCCUGAGAGACACACACAGCAUACAGACAAUAUCUGGACAGCGUUCCAAGCCCUUCUCUCCAGAUUAUAACAGUCUGUAUUUUCUCCAUGUAUAAAGGAACAGUAUUUUACAAUUGGGAAUAGAAGAUAUUUUCAUUUGGAAGAUACUUGUUUUUAAGACUCUAUGAAGUGAUCAUCUAAUGUCACAAAUUUAAUUCCUUUUUG
Long non-coding RNA from Harpia harpyja (harpy eagle), 747 nucleotides. RefSeq lists it as uncharacterized. Lineage: Eukaryota; Metazoa; Chordata; Aves; Accipitriformes; Accipitridae. The record is from RefSeq and is a predicted model, not a curated record. The transcript has 3 exons.